Molecule: ribosomal RNA, 253 nt
Filed under: uncultured bacterium
Lineage: Bacteria
Description: partial 16S ribosomal RNA
Rfam family: Bacterial small subunit ribosomal RNA
Source: RNAcentral
UACAGAGGGUGCAAGCGUUAAUCGGAAUUACUGGGCGUAAAGGGUGCGUAGGUGGUUUGAUAAGUUAGGUGUGAAAGCCCCGGGCUUAACCUGGGAAUUGCGCCUAAUACUGUUAGACUAGAGUACUGUAGAGGAAGGUGGAAUUUCCGGUGUAGCGGUGAAAUGCGUAGAUAUCGGAAGGAACAUCAGUGGCGAAGGCGACUUUCUGGACAGAUACUGACACUGAGGCACGAAGGCCAGGGGAGCAAACGGG